GACGAACGCUGGCGGCGUGCUUAACACAUGCAAGUCGAACGGAAAGGCCCUGCUUUUGUGGGGUGCUCGAGUGGCGAACGGGUGAGUAACACGUGAGUAACCUGCCCUUGACUUUGGGAUAACUUCAGGAAACUGGGGCUAAUACCCGAUAGGAGCUCCUGCUGCACGGUGGUGGUUGGAAAGUUUCGGCGGUUGGGGAUGGACUCGCGGCGUAUCAGCUUGUUGGUGGGGUAGUGGCUUACCAAGGCUUUGACGGGUAGCCGGCCUGAGCGGGUGACCGGCCACAUUGGGACUGAGAUACGGCCCAGACUGCUACGGGAGGCAGCAGUGGGGAAUAUUGCACAAUGGGCGGAAGCCUGAUGCAGCAACGCCGCGUGCGGGAUGACGGCCUUCGGGUUGUAAACCGCUUUCGCAUGUGACGAAGCGUGAGUGACGGUAAUGGGUAAAGAAGCACCGGCUAACUACGUG
RNAcentral lists this ribosomal RNA (468 nucleotides) under uncultured bacterium. RNAcentral describes it as "partial 16S ribosomal RNA". It matches the Rfam family "Bacterial small subunit ribosomal RNA", at positions 28 to 507 of the family's 1533-position model. The record is from RNAcentral.